This 446-nucleotide ribosomal RNA is filed under the name uncultured bacterium. RNAcentral describes it as "bacterial SSU rRNA". It matches the Rfam family "Bacterial small subunit ribosomal RNA", at positions 936 to 1385 of the family's 1533-position model. The record is from RNAcentral.
GGUGCUCCGAUGCUCUAGAUUACGCGAAGACCCUUACCAAGGCUUGACAUAUAGAGGAAAAGUGUAGAAAUACACUCCCCGCAAGGUCUCUAUACAGGUGGUGCAUGGUUGUCGUCAGCUCGUGUCGUGAGAUGUUGGGUUAAGUCCCGCAACGAGCGCAACCCUCGUCCUAUGUUGCCAGCACGUUAAGGUGGGAACUCAUGGGAUACUGCCGGGGUCAACUCGGAGGAAGGUGGGGAUGACGUCAAAUCAUCAUGCCCCUUAUGUCUUGGGCUUCACGCAUGCUACAAUGGCCGGUACAGAGGGCAGCAAUACCGCAAGGUGGAGCGAAUCCCAGAAAGCCGGUCUCAGUUCGGAUUGAGGUCUGCAACUCGACCUCAUGAAGUCGGAGUCGCUAGUAAUCGCGAAUCAGCAACGUCGCGGUGAAUACGUUCCCGGGUCUUGUA